This 205-nucleotide unclassified non-coding RNA is filed under the name uncultured fungus. Its description in RNAcentral is "sequence contains ITS1, 5.8S rRNA gene". The stretch from base 157 to 205 matches the Rfam family "5.8S ribosomal RNA", at positions 1 to 49 of the family's 154-position model. Lineage: Eukaryota; Fungi. The record is from RNAcentral.
UUUCCGUAGGUGAACCUGCGGAAGGAUCAUUGAAGAAUGCGGUCUUCGGACCAAUUUCCCACCCAUGUUUACCUGACUAUGCCUCGGCGGUCCGCCGCCGGAGCCAUUUUACAACCAAUUUUUAUGACGUCUGUCUUAUAAAAGCGAAUUUAUCAAAACUUUCAACAACGGAUCUCUUGGUUCCCGCAUCGAUGAAGAACGCAGC